UACGUAGGUGGCAAGCGUUGUCCGGAAUUAUUGGGCGUAAAGCGCGCGCAGGUGGUUUCUUAAGUCUGAUGUGAAAGCCCACGGCUCAACCGUGGAGGGUCAUUGGAAACUGGGGAACUCGAGUGCAGAAGAGGAAAGUGGAAUUCCAAGUGUAGCGGUGAAAUGCGUAGAGAUUUGGAGGAACACCAGUGGCGAAGGCGACUUUCUGGUCUGUAACUGACACUGAGGCGCGAAAGCGUGGGGAGCGAACAGG
RNAcentral lists this ribosomal RNA (253 nucleotides) under uncultured bacterium. RNAcentral describes it as "partial 16S ribosomal RNA". It matches the Rfam family "Bacterial small subunit ribosomal RNA", at positions 524 to 776 of the family's 1533-position model. The record is from RNAcentral.